CCAAUAGCGUAUAUUAAAGUUGCUGCAGUCAAAAAGCUCGUAGUUGAAUUUCGGGACCAAUAUGCCGGUCGUGCCUCGGUACGUACUGGCAUCGUUGGUUUCUCCCUUCUGAUGAACCAUGAUGUCAUUUAUUUGGUGUCGUGGGGAAUCAGGACUGUUACUUUGAAAAAAAUUAGAGUGUUUAAAGCAGGCUCACGCUUGAAUACAUUAGCAUGGAAUAAUGAAAUAGGACGUUUGAUUCUAUUUUGUUGGUUUCUAGGAUCGACGUAAUGAUUAAUAGGGAUAGUUGGGGGCAUUAGUAUUCAAUUGUCAGAGGUGAAAUUCUUGGAUUUAUUGAAGACUAACUACUGCGAAAGCAUUUGCCAAGGAUGUUUUCAUUAAUCAAGAACGAAAGUUAGGGGAUCGAAGACGAUCAGAUACCGUCGUAGUCUUAACCAUAAACUAUGCCGACUAGGGAUCGGAUGAUGUUAAUUUUUUAAUGACUCAUUCGGCGCCUUACG
RNAcentral lists this ribosomal RNA (500 nucleotides) under uncultured Glomeromycotina. RNAcentral describes it as "partial small subunit ribosomal RNA". It matches the Rfam family "Eukaryotic small subunit ribosomal RNA", at positions 591 to 1092 of the family's 1831-position model. The record is from RNAcentral. Lineage: Eukaryota; Fungi; Glomeromycota.